RNAcentral lists this ribosomal RNA (253 nucleotides) under uncultured bacterium. RNAcentral describes it as "partial 16S ribosomal RNA". It matches the Rfam family "Bacterial small subunit ribosomal RNA", at positions 524 to 776 of the family's 1533-position model. The record is from RNAcentral.
GACGAGGGGUCCAAGCGUUGUUCGGAAUCAUUGGGCGUAAAGAGCGUGUAGGCGGCCAGGUAGGUCGGUUGUGAAAACUGGAGGCUCAACCUUCAGAGGUCGACCGAAACCAUCUGGCUAGAGUCCGGGAGAGGAGAGUGGAAUUCCUGGUGUAGCGGUGAAAUGCGCAGAUAUCAGGAAGAACACCCGUGGCGAAAGCGGCUCUCUGGAACGGUACUGACGCUGAGACGCGAAAGCGUGGGGAGCGAACAGG